AGACAAAACGUAAAAGACAAACACAUUCUAAGUAGUGCUGCUAGAUCACUGUAUUAGUCCUUCCCGUGCUGCUAUGAAGAAAUACCCGAGACUGGGUAAUUUGUAAAGGAAUUUAUGGUAUUUAGGCUUCUUAGGUCUUCUGACAAAGGACAGAUUAAAGACCUUGGAAAAUAGGCAGAAGGAUUUCGAGUUCAUGCGAAGAUGGUGGAAAUUCUAGGACAGAAAAAUGAUCAAUUUGGAAGGUUGAGAAUGAGAACAGAUAAAGAAAACCUGAAGGAAAGGCACCAGUGCCUGGAACAUAUACUUGAUGUGGAUAGAAGCCAUCCAGAGCCCAUUUGUCAAGUGAAGUAAAAACUUUUGUAUACAAACAGGGUUCAAACUGGACACAAAUAGGCAGUUCUUGUAAAUAAUAAAAGUAAC
RNAcentral lists this long non-coding RNA (420 nucleotides) under Pan troglodytes (chimpanzee). RNAcentral's name for it is "lncRNA (ENSPTRG00000053378.1)". The record is from RNAcentral. Lineage: Eukaryota; Metazoa; Chordata; Mammalia; Primates; Hominidae.